GACGAACGCUGGCGGCGUGCUUAACACAUGCAAGUCGAACGGUGAAGCGCCUUCCUUUUUGGUGGGUGUGGAUGAGUGGCGAACGGGUGAGUAACACGUGAGUAACCUGCCCCCUUCUUCUGGAUAACCGCAUGAAAGUGUGGCUAAUACGGGAUAUUCUGGGUCUGUCGCAUGAUGGGUCUGGGAAAGAUAUUGUUUCGGUGGGGGAUGGGCUCGCGGCCUAUCAGCUUGUUGGUGGGGUGAUGGCCUACCAAGGCGGUGACGGGUAGCCGGCCUGAGAGGGUGGACGGUCACACGGGGACUGAGACACGGCACAGACUCCGACGGGAGGCAGCAGGGGGGAAUAUUGCACAAUGGGCGCAAGCCUGAUGCAGCGACGCCGCGUGAGGGAUGGAGGCCUUCGGGUUGUGAACCUCUUUCGCCAGUGAAGCAGGCCUGCCUCGUUUGUGGGUGGGUUGACGGUAGCUGGAUAAGAAGCGCCGGCUAACUACGUG
RNAcentral lists this ribosomal RNA (494 nucleotides) under uncultured bacterium. RNAcentral's name for it is "partial 16S ribosomal RNA". It matches the Rfam family "Bacterial small subunit ribosomal RNA", at positions 28 to 507 of the family's 1533-position model. The record is from RNAcentral.